CGCGUGAGUAGUAAGUGAUUCACUUCCUGUAUUAGAGUGUGUUGAAUUUUCAUGCGACUUACACAAAUGUGUGCAUCUGUCAGCCAGAGGUGAACAUGGCUGAAGUCUCGGAGAGGACACUACAAGUCGCCGUCGUGGUGUCUUUCGCUGCCGGCUUUGUAGCGGGCUGGCAGGCUAACAGAAUGAGGAGAAAGUUUCUGGACUGGAGGAAGAAACGGCUGCAAGAUAAACUGUCCGAAACUCAGAAGAAGCUGGAUUUGGCUUGAAUGGUCUGGGGUUGUCUGGUCUUCUCUGUAAAGCUGCUGGAUCCUGGAUGUGCUACACGUCUGUCACUGUGGAGAAGAGACAUCAAAAUGACCAACCUGUGUUCUGCACUACCCACGUUUUCUUAUCCCACCUUUUUAAAUCAAGACUGGACUUGGAAAUACAAUCAUUACGUCUUUUCUCCCCUCUGACACUAGUCUAGCAUUGUCCGCCGUAUCUCCACAGCCCUGUGUCAGUGCUCGAGUAUUGUCUGGCUACACUGCUUAUCUAUUCCGGGGUAGUGGGGGGGAAGACACUCUUGCCUCUUUUUUUUCUUCUUCUUUUUCAAACCAAUCAACUAUCCUGGGCUGUGCUAACUAAAGCCCUUGAUGCAGAGACAAUGACCUUGCUACAUACAUAGAAGAAGGGGACGCUUUAUCCUAGCAAAGUACAUCCGGUGACCCAGACUACUUAAGACACAACAGGGAAAAAAUUGGGGUUCUGGUUUUAGUGGUUUCCCUUUACAGCAUGUCUCAGUUUCUAUUUGUUUCAUAUCUGGUCAAAAUAAAAUUAUUGUGUUUUUCAUGUUUCUCUAA
Molecule: long non-coding RNA, 839 nt
Organism: Etheostoma cragini (Arkansas darter)
Lineage: Eukaryota; Metazoa; Chordata; Actinopteri; Perciformes; Percidae
Exons: 2
Source: RefSeq, a predicted model, not a curated record